Molecule: ribosomal RNA, 440 nt
Filed under: uncultured bacterium
Lineage: Bacteria
Description: partial 16S ribosomal RNA
Rfam family: Bacterial small subunit ribosomal RNA
Source: RNAcentral
CCUACGGGAGGCAGCAGUCGGGAAUAUUGCGCAAUGGAGGAAACUCUGACGCAGUGACGCCGCGUGUGGGAAGACGGUCCUCUGGAUUGUAAACCACUGUCCCCAGGGACUAAGAUGACGGUACCGGGGGAGGAAGCACCGGCUAACUACGUGCAAGCAGCCGCGGUAAUACGUAGGGAGCGAGCGUUGUCCGGAAUUACUGGGUGUAAGGGGAGCGUAGGCGGGGAGGAAAGUAGGGUGUGAAAACUACGGGCUAAACUGGUAGUCGCACUCGAAACUGCAGGUCUUGAGUGAAGUAGAGGCAGGCGGAAUUCCUAGUGUAGCGGUGAAAUGCGUAGAUAUUAGGAGGAACACCAGUGGCGAAGGCAGCCUGCUGGGCUUUUACUGACGCUGAGGCUCGAAAGUGUGGGGAGCAAACAGGAUUAGAUACCCUUGUAGUC